GAGAGACGCUGGCGGCGUGGAUUAGGCAUGCAAGUCGAACGGUAUCAUCCUUUCGGGGGUGAGAGAGUGGCGAACUGGUGAGUAACACGUAGGUUAUCUACCUCAAGACGGGGACAACCCAGGGAAACUUGGGCUAAUACCGGAUGUGAGCAACUUUUAGUUGUUUGAAAGGUGGCGUAAGCUGUCGCUUGGGGAUGAGCCUGCGUCCUAUUAGUUAGUUGGUGAGGUAACGGCUCACCUAGGCAAUGAUAGGUAGGCGGCCUUAACGGGUGGUCGCCCACACUGGGAUUGAGAUACGGCCCAGACUCCUACGGGAGGCAGCAGUCGAGAAUAGUCUACAAUGGUCGGAAGACUGAUAGUGCGACGCCGCGUGAACGAUGAAUCCCUUCGGGGUGUAAAGUUCUUUUAUAUGUGAGCAGUGCUUCUUAUAUUAACAGUAUGGGGAGAGAGAUAUUAGCAUAUGAAUAAGCAACGGCUAACUCCGUG
RNAcentral lists this ribosomal RNA (486 nucleotides) under uncultured bacterium. RNAcentral's name for it is "bacterial SSU rRNA". It matches the Rfam family "Bacterial small subunit ribosomal RNA", at positions 28 to 507 of the family's 1533-position model. The record is from RNAcentral.